This 468-nucleotide ribosomal RNA is filed under the name uncultured bacterium. Its description in RNAcentral is "partial 16S ribosomal RNA". It matches the Rfam family "Bacterial small subunit ribosomal RNA", at positions 28 to 507 of the family's 1533-position model. The record is from RNAcentral.
GACGAACGCUGGCGGCGUGCUUAACACAUGCAAGUCGAACGGAAAGGCCCUGCUUUUGUGGGGUGCUCGAGUGGCGAACGGGUGAGUAACACGUGGGUAACCUGCCCUUGACUUUGGGAUAACUUCAGGAAACUGGGGCUAAUACCGGAUAGGAGCUCCUGCUGCAUGGUGGGGGUUGGAAAGUUUCGGCGGUUGGGGAUGGACUCGCGGCUUAUCAGCUUGUUGGUGGGGUAGUGGCUUACCAAGGCUUUGACGGGUAGCCGGCCUGAGAGGGUGACCCGCCACAUUGGGACUGAGAUACGGCCCAGACUCCUACGGGAGGCAGCAGUGGGGAAUAUUGCACAAUGGGCGGAAGCCUGAUGCAGCAACGCCGCGUGCGGGAUGACGGCCUUCGGGUUGUAAACCGCUUUCGCCUGUGACGAAGCGUGAGUGACGGUAAUGGGUAAAGAAGCACCGGCUAACUACGUG